Non-coding RNA from Pangasianodon gigas (Mekong giant catfish), 88 nucleotides. NCBI's taxonomy places the organism in Eukaryota, Metazoa, Chordata, Actinopteri, Siluriformes, Pangasiidae. The record is from the annotation of a GenBank genome assembly.
CAGAACAAUAAAUACAUAGAACAAUAUACACAGAACAAUAAAUACAUAGAACAAUAUACACAGAACAAUAAAUACACAGAAUAAUAUA